UGAGGAAUUUUGCGCAAUGGGGGAACCCCUGACGCAGCGACGCCGCGUGGCGGAGGAAGGUCUUCGGAUCGUAAACUCCUGUCAAGACGGACGAAUCCGUGAGAGAUGACUAAGCCCUCGCGUUGACGGUACCUCUGAAGGCAGCCCCGGCUAACUCCGUGCCAGCAGCCGCGGUAAUACGGAGGGGGCUAGCGUUGUUCGGAAUUAUUGGGCGUAAAGGGCGCGUAGGCGGCCCGGCAAGUCAGUCGUGAAAGCCCUCGGCUCAACCGAGGAAUUGCGAUUGAAACUGCCGAGCUUGAGUUCUGGAGAGGGUAGCGGAAUUCCCAGUGUAGCGGUGAAAUGCGUAGAUAUUGGGAGGAACACCCGUGGCGAAGGCGGCUACCUGGACAGAUACUGACGCUGAGGCGCGAAAGCGUGGGGAGCAAACAGGAUUAGAUACCCGCGUAGUCC
Molecule: ribosomal RNA, 450 nt
Filed under: uncultured prokaryote
Description: bacterial SSU rRNA
Rfam family: Bacterial small subunit ribosomal RNA
Source: RNAcentral